This 910-nucleotide ribosomal RNA is filed under the name uncultured bacterium. RNAcentral's name for it is "bacterial SSU rRNA". It matches the Rfam family "Bacterial small subunit ribosomal RNA", at positions 33 to 935 of the family's 1533-position model. The record is from RNAcentral.
ACGCUAGCGAUAGGCUUAACACAUGCAAGUCGAGGGGCAGCAUGGUCUUAGCUUGCUAAGACUGAUGGCGACCGGCGCACGGGUGCGUAACGCGUAUGCAACUUGCCUCACAGAGGGGGAUAACCCGUCGAAAGACGGACUAAUACCGCGUACACUCCACUUUGGGCAUCCAAAGUAGAGGAAAUGAAAUUCGCUGUGAGAUAGGCAUGCGUCCCAUUAGCUAGUUGGUGAGGUAACGGCUCACCAAGGCGACGAUGGGUAGGGGAACUGAGAGGUUGAACCCCCACACUGGUACUGAGACACGGACCAGACUCCUACGGGAGGCAGCAGUGAGGAAUAUUGGUCAAUGGGCGAGAGCCUGAACCAGCCAAGUCGCGUGAAGGAUGACUGUCUUAUGGAUUGUAAACUUCUUUUAUACGGGAAUAACAAGAGUCACGUGUGGCUCCCUGCAUGUACCGUAUGAAUAAGCAUCGGCUAACUCCGUGCCAGCAGCCGCGGUAGUACGGAGGAUGCGAGCGUUAUCCGGAUUUAUUGGGUUUAAAGGGUGCGUAGGCGGCCUGUUAAGUCAGCGGUGAAAUCUAGGAGCUUAACUCCUAAAUUGCCAUUGAUACUGGCGGGCUUGAGUGUAGAUGAGGUAGGCGGAAUGCGUGGUGUAGCGGUGGAAUGCAUAGAUAUCACGCAGAACUCCGAUUGCGAAGGCAGCUUACUAAGGUACAACUGACGCUGAAGCACGAAAGCGUGGGUAUCAAACAGGAUUAGAUACCCUGGUAGUCCACGCAGUAAACGAUGAUAACUGGGCGUAUGCGAUAUACAGUAUGCUCCUAAGCGAAAGCGUUAAGUUAUCCACCUGGGGAGUACGCCGGCAACGGUGAAACUCAAAGGAAUUGACGGGGGCCCGCACAAGCGGAGG